AUGGAGAGUUUGAUUCUGGCUCAGAACGAACGCUGGCGGCGUGGAUAAGACAUGCAAGUCGAACGAGAGAAUUGCUAGCUUGCUAAUAAUUCUCUAGUGGCGCACGGGUGAGUAACACGUGAGUAACCUGCCCCCGAGAGCGGGAUAGCCCUGGGAAACUGGGAUUAAUACCGCAUAGUAUCGAAAGAUUAAAGCAGCAAUGCGCUUGGGGAUGGGCUCGCGGCCUAUUAGUUAGUUGGUGAGGUAACGGCUCACCAAGGCGAUGACGGGUAGCCGGUCUGAGAGGAUGUCCGGCCACACUGGAACUGAGACACGGUCCAGACACCUACGGGUGGCAGCAGUCGAGAAUCAUUCACAAUGGGGGAAACCCUGAUGGUGCGACGCCGCGUGGGGGAAUGAAGGUCUUCGGAUUGUAAACCCCUGUCAUGUGGGAGCAAAUUAAAAAGAUAGUACCACAAGAGGAAGAGACGGCUAACUCUGUGCCAGCAGCCGCGGUAAUACAGAGGUCUCAAGCGUUGUUCGGAAUCACUGGGCGUAAAGCGUGCGUAGGCUGUUUCGUAAGUCGUGUGUGAAAGGCGCGGGCUCAACCCGCGGACGGCACAUGAUACUGCGAGACUAGAGUAAUGGAGGGGGAACCGGAAUUCUCGGUGUAGCAGUGAAAUGCGUAGAUAUCGAGAGGAACACUCGUGGCGAAGGCGGGUUCCUGGACAUUAACUGACGCUGAGGCACGAAGGCCAGGGGAGCGAAAGGGAUUAGAUACCCCUGUAGUCCUGGCAGUAAACGGUGCACGCUUGGUGUGCGGGGAAUCGACCCCCUGCGUGCCGGAGCUAACGCGUUAAGCGUGCCGCCUGGGGAGUACGGUCGCAAGAUUAAAACUCAAAGAAAUUGACGGGGACCCGCACAAGCGGUGGAGUAUGUGGCUUAAUUCGAUGCAACGCGAAGAACCUUACCUGGGCUUGACAUGUAAUGAACAACAUGUGAAAGCAUGCGACUCUUCGGAGGCGUUACACAGGUGCUGCAUGGCCGUCGUCAGCUCGUGUCGUGAGAUGUUUGGUUAAGUCCAGCAACGAGCGCAACCCCUGUUGCCAGUUACCAGCACGUGAAGGUGGGGACUCUGGCGAGACUGCCCAGAUCAACUGGGAGGAAGGUGGGGACGACGUCAGGUCAGUAUGGCCCUUAUGCCCAGGGCUGCACACGUACUACAAUGCCCAGUACAGAGGGGGCCGAAGCCGCGAGGCGGAGGAAAUCCUGAAAACUGGGCCCAGUUCGGACUGUAGGCUGCAACCCGCCUACACGAAGCCGGAAUCGCUAGUAAUGGCGCAUCAGCUACGGCGCCGUGAAUACGUUCCCGGGUCUUGUACACACCGCCCGUCACAUCAUGGAAGCCGGUCGCACCCGAAGUAUCUGAAGCCAACCGCAAGGAGGCAGGGUCCUAAGGUGAGACUGGUAACUGGGAUGAAGUCGUAACAAGGUAGCCGUAGGGGAACCUGCGGCUGGAUCACCUCCUUUCUAUGGA
Molecule: ribosomal RNA, 1516 nt
Filed under: Phocaeicola vulgatus
Lineage: Bacteria; Pseudomonadati; Bacteroidota; Bacteroidia; Bacteroidales; Bacteroidaceae
Also listed under: 3 other names
Description: bacterial SSU rRNA
Rfam family: Bacterial small subunit ribosomal RNA
Source: RNAcentral